UGGCGGCAUGCCUUACACAUGCAAGUCGAACGGCAGCGCGGGGCAACCUGGCGGCGAGUGGCGAACGGGUGAGUAAUAUAUCGGAACGUACCCUGGAGUGGGGGAUAACGUAGCGAAAGUUACGCUAAUACCGCAUACGAUCUAAGGAUGAAAGUGGGGGAUCCGCAAGGACCUCAUGCUCGUGGAGCGGCCGAUAUCUGAUUAGCUAGUUGGUAGGGUAAAAGCCUACCAAGGCAUCGAUCAGUAGCUGGUCUGAGAGGACGACCAGCCACACUGGAACUGAGACACGGUCCAGACUCCUACGGGAGGCAGCAGUGGGGAAUUUUGGACAAUGGGCGCAAGCCUGAUCCAGCAAUGCCGCGUGAGUGAAGAAGGCCUUCGGGUUGUAAAGCUCUUUUGUCAGGGAAGAAACGGUGUUUUCUAAUACAGAGCACUAAUGACGGUACCUGAAGAAUAAGCACCGGCUAACUACGUGCCAGCAGCCGCGGUAAUACGUAGGGUGCAAGCGUUAAUCGGAAUUACUGGGCGUAAAGCGUGCGCAGGCGGUUUUGUAAGUCUGUCGUGAAAUCCCCGGGCUCAACCUGGGAAUGGCGAUGGAGACUGCAAGGCUAGAAUCUGGCAGAGGGGGGUAGAAUUCCACGUGUAGCAGUGAAAUGCGUAGAGAUGUGGAGGAACACCGAUGGCGAAGCCAGCCCCCUGGGUCAAGAUUGACGCUCAUGCACGAAAGCGUGGGG
RNAcentral lists this ribosomal RNA (734 nucleotides) under uncultured soil bacterium. RNAcentral describes it as "bacterial SSU rRNA". It matches the Rfam family "Bacterial small subunit ribosomal RNA", at positions 37 to 766 of the family's 1533-position model. The record is from RNAcentral.